Molecule: long non-coding RNA, 400 nt
Organism: Mustela erminea (ermine)
Lineage: Eukaryota; Metazoa; Chordata; Mammalia; Carnivora; Mustelidae
Exons: 3
Source: RefSeq, a predicted model, not a curated record
CUGGACCGUCCAAAAGCAUACACCACAGGGAAAGAAUCAUGCAAACAGAUCAGUUAUGAACACACCCUAGCUAAGGCAUGAUGCAUUCCUCUAGCAGAAUGGUGGUGUCUAUCAGUCAGGGGAUUUGUAAUCAGAUCUGCAAUCAGACAGCUGUCUUCCGAACUCCACAGCUGUCUUCUGAACUCCAGAGCUGUCUUCCGAACUCCACAGCCUUGAGAAUUGUUAUUGCUGAUCCUCAAGUAAUACAUUGUGCUUUGAAGCAUGGCCAGUUUAGAAACUGCAAGCCUUGGGAACUGAAUGGUUCCAUUUAGGUCCAAAGUACUUUUAAUUAUUGGCCUGCCUUACAUUCUAAAAGGAAGGAAAAUUUGGAAUAAAUAUUCUUGUGCAGCCUGAGAGGCAA